GCGCUGGCGGCGUGUCUANUACAUGCAAGUCGAGCGGGUAAGGUAGCAAUACCUUGCUAGANNNGGACGGGUGAGUAACGCGUGAACAAUCUAUCCCAGACAGGGGGAUAACGUUUGGAAACAGACGCUAAUACCGCGUAAGACCACGACAGGACAUCCUGUUGAGGUAAAAGGAGAAAUCCGGUUUGGGGUGAGUUCGCGUCCCAUUAGAUAGUUGGUGAGGUAAAGGCUCACCAAGUCGACGAUGGGUAGCCGAUCUGAGAGGAUGACCGGCCACACUGGAACUGAGAAACGGUCCAGACUCCUACGGGAGGCAGCAGUAGGGAAUAUUGGGCAAUGGGGGAAACCCUGACCCAGCGACGCCGCGUGAGGGAAGAAGGCCUUCGGGUUGUAAACCUCUGUCCCAUGUGAAGAGAAGAAGACGGUAGCAUGGGAGGAAGCCCCGGCUAACUACGUGCCAGCAGCCGCGGUAAUACGUAGGGGGCGAGCGUUGUCCGGAAUGACUGGGCGUAAAGGGCGUGUAGGUGGCCUUAUAAGUCUUGAGUGAAAGUCCCGAAUUCAAAGCGGGAAUUGCUUGGGAGACUGUAGGGCUUGAGUGUGGGAGAGGAUAGCGGAAUUCCCGGUGUAGCGGUGAAAUGCGUAGAGAUCGGGAGGAACACCAGUGGCGAAGGCGGCUAUCUGGACCAAGACUGACACUGAGGCGCGAAAGCGUGGGUAGCAAACAGGAUUAGAUACCCCUGGUAGUCCACGCUGUAAACGAUGGAUGCUAGGUGUAGGCAGGUAUCGACCCCUUCUGUGCCGGAGUGAACGCAAUAAGCAUCCCGCCUGGGGAGUACGGCCGCAAGGUUGAAACUCAAAAGGAAUUGACGGGGGCUCCGCACAAGCAGCGGAGCAUGUGGGUUAUUCCGACGCAACGUGAAGAAUCUUACCAGGUCUUGACAUUGAUCUAAACUCUUGACAAUUGAGGUGCCGAAAGGCCUAUAUAAACAGGUGGUGCUGGNNGCGUCAGCUCGUGUCUGAGAUGGUUGGGUUAAAUCCCGUAACGAGCGCCACCCUUGUUCUUU
Molecule: ribosomal RNA, 1064 nt
Filed under: uncultured Eubacteriales bacterium
Lineage: Bacteria; Bacillati; Bacillota; Clostridia; Eubacteriales
Description: bacterial SSU rRNA
Rfam family: Bacterial small subunit ribosomal RNA
Source: RNAcentral